CCUAUCUCAGUUCAGAUUGGAGGCUGAAACCCGCCUCCAUGAAGUUGGAUUCGCUAGUAAUCGCGCAUCAGCCAUGGCGCGGUGAAUACGUUCCCGGGCCUUGUACACACCGCCCGUCAAGCCAUGGGAGCUGGGGGUGCCUGAAGUGUGCAGCCGCAAGGAGCGCCCUAAGGUAAAACCGGUGACUGGGGCUAAGUCGUAACAAGGUAAC
This 211-nucleotide ribosomal RNA is filed under the name uncultured bacterium. RNAcentral's name for it is "partial 16S ribosomal RNA". It matches the Rfam family "Bacterial small subunit ribosomal RNA", at positions 1282 to 1500 of the family's 1533-position model. The record is from RNAcentral.